Musa acuminata AAA Group (dessert banana) is the source of this 907-nucleotide long non-coding RNA. RefSeq lists it as uncharacterized. The transcript has 3 exons. NCBI's taxonomy places the organism in Eukaryota, Viridiplantae, Streptophyta, Magnoliopsida, Zingiberales, Musaceae. The record is from RefSeq and is a predicted model, not a curated record.
ACCUGCAUCACUUCAUCAUGACCUACUCAAUCAUGAAGGACUGCUCAUUCACAUGCACUACAUUACUGUACUCUGCUUUUCUUCUUUGUUUCACUCUCAUCCUGUAAGCUCCAUUGCCAGACCACCAUCUUCUUUUGAUCAUAUACUUGGACAAGAGAAUGGGUGUGUUGCUCCUCCUGAUAACAACAAUCUGCACGGCGACAUCCCGCUAUCGAUCGGACUGCACUGAUGUGCUCUUCGAGCUUGCUCCCUGCCUUGACUAUGUGACUGAUGCUUCAACCUGUCCAUCCUUGGACUGCUGCAAGCAGUUAACCAAUGUGAUCAAGACUCAGCCUCUCUGCCUUUGUGCUGUCUUCGAUGGAACAGCAUCGAAGCUGCUUGGAGUCCCCAUUGACACCGACCGUGCCAUCAACCUCCCUGAAGCGUGCCAAGAAGAAGAAGAAGAGUUACCUCAGGCCUUACCAACUUCAGUAGCUCUAAGAAAUCAUAUCCCUGCCGUGCCACCACCUGCUGGAAUUCCUUGAGGUAGGAAAAGCAGGGAGAAAUGAUCCCAUUGCUAGUAUGUCUGAUGAAGCUUUGUAAGAGUUUGUAAGCAAUUUGAAGUUUGCACGAAAAUUCAAAGGUCACAGUCAUAAUCCAAAUCCCACAUUUAUGCUGUUUGGCAAUUCUUGCAGAAGAUGGUGAAAGAGGAUUACUUGGAGAGAAACAUCCUAAGCUACUAAAAUCUCAAGCUACCUGCUUAUUUCUCAGAGACCUUCUCACUUGCAGUGCUCGGACAAUUAGAACCUCCUUAUUAGCUUCUGAAUGCAGUUGUCUGGUUGUGCUCUGUUGUCAUAUCUCUUCAUGUUAGUUGUUUGUCCACUCUCUGUUCAUAUCAGUUUGGAAGGGUUUUGAUGCAUCAGAUUCA